RNAcentral lists this non-coding RNA (29 nucleotides) under Rattus norvegicus (Norway rat). The record is from RNAcentral. Lineage: Eukaryota; Metazoa; Chordata; Mammalia; Rodentia; Muridae.
UAGGAGUGAGACUCACUGGUGUCAGGAUA